RNAcentral lists this long non-coding RNA (1482 nucleotides) under Setaria italica (foxtail millet). RNAcentral describes it as "long non-coding RNA (SITA_LNC004095)". Lineage: Eukaryota; Viridiplantae; Streptophyta; Magnoliopsida; Poales; Poaceae. The record is from RNAcentral.
UGGAUCGCGAUUAAUAGCCGCGAUCCAAACCUAAAAUAUUUAGACCGCGACUAUUAAUCGCUAUCCAUUUCGGGGGUCUUUAUGUAAAACAUUGUUGGUCCACUGCUCCCCUUGCUGUCGCCGGCGGCCGACGCCUGACACCGUUGGCGUGCCCGACUGCCCGUGCGGGGCUUCCGGAUGAACCCCUUGAGUCCUUCGCCUGCUCUGGGGGAGAACGCCAGCGACGAGGUCAUCGACGGCAGGCUGCGCCGCAAGGACGGACGCCGCCACCGCGCCCGGUGCCGGUGCCUAGCGUCGAGAUGCACGCGUCGAGAUGCACGCGCCCGGUGCCGGAGCCUAGCUGGAUGCCGAGCGUGACGAUGGCGGCGCUGUCGCCCAUGACUGUGGUCAGCAUCAUCUCCUUCUCCAGGAUCCGGUCCAACUCCGCCGCCACCAGCCGCAUCCUGGGCCGCCGCCUCGCCGACGGGCUCAGGCACUGGGACGCCAGGCCCACCAGCUCCGUCGUGCCCUCGGCCCUCCGAUGUGAAGCUCCCUCCCACUCUCCCAGCCUCCGGUCGACCAGCUCGUUCGAGGUGAAAUGUGCCUCCAUCUAACAGAUCCACAACACAAUCAACCCGAACACGAAUUUUCCCGCUGCCAUUCGACGGAGCGGCGCGUUCGAACCCUCGCAUCAGCCUGUCGAUUCCGGCGUCAGACAACCUUGGCGAUGAAAUACUCGUCGACGAGGACGUUGCUCGUCUUGAAGUCCCUGUGGAUCAACGGAGGCGCCAGGGUGUGCAGGUGAUUCAGACCUGCGAUUCAGAAUUCAUACUUCAAACUCUGUUUGUUUUACGCUUUUUACACUUUUCCAGUGCAUCAAUCGUCAUGAGAGAUGUAAAACAAUGACAGCCUUGUAAUCUUUAGCUGCUCCAGUGGCUAUGGAGAGCCUCUUCUUGAACUCCAGCCUAGUCAUGGACUCCUUGCCGGUGUCUGAUGAACAGCACACAUACAACACAGUGUUCAUGCAACAUUCAGGGAGUCAUCAGCUUAGCUCAUUACCGUACAGAUGGCAACUCAAACUGCCGUUCGGCAGGUAAUCAAACACCAGCAUCUGUAGACCCUUUUCUUGGCAGUAGCCGAUCAGCGUUACGACGUUGCGGUGCCAGAUCUCUGAUAGCCUCCUGAUCUGCAUUUUCACAAGAGACCCAUGUAUUUUUUUUUUCAGUCAAGUGACGAAUUUCAUCUUGCAAAUUACUGAAGACGUUCAGGGUGCACAAGGAGCUGGGCAGUUCAGGAAAAAUGUGUGUUGAUCAGUAACUGAAAACCGAGAAAGACGCCGCUCGCCCGGGUGUGAUGUGAUUGAUGCGCAAGCGUAACCUUCUUCCCCACAUGGCAAUCGGGAAUGGCCGGAUGGUUCUUGCUACUUUCUUCAACUGCAAGUCUGCAACAACAAAUUAUUAUAUUUUUCAGUGCAGCCUGUGCAAGUGGAAUUGUGGGUGUUCG